AAGACAAUACUGUUUGGACUCAUUUCUGUAGUGUUACCAGAGAAAUUUCUUAGAGCCUGUAGAGUUCUGGGAAGCAAGAGGAGGCACAGCCUUCUCCCCUUCUUCUUCAUGAAGCUGGCCAUGGUGUUGCUCAGCCCUAACCGCGCCAUGGCUGUUGAUGACCAUUGUCCUUAGGAGGGGUUGUGGGAAGAUGGCAUCUGAAUGCC
Peromyscus eremicus (cactus mouse) is the source of this 206-nucleotide small nucleolar RNA. RefSeq annotates it as small nucleolar RNA U3. The transcript has a single exon. The record is from RefSeq and is a predicted model, not a curated record. Lineage: Eukaryota; Metazoa; Chordata; Mammalia; Rodentia; Cricetidae.